GGCGUGAAAUCUAGCAUAUCAAUAAGCGGAGGAAAAGAAACCAACAGGGAUUACCUCAGUAACGGCGAGUGAAGCGGUAACAGCUCAAAUUUGAAAUCUGGCCUCACGGUCCGAGUUGUAAUUUGUAGAGGAUGCUUCGAGCAUGGUCUGGCCUAAGUUCCUUGGAACAGGACGUCAUAGAGGGUGAGAAUCCCGUAUGCGGCCAGGUGCCUACGCUCAUGUGAAGCUCCUUCGACGAGUCGAGUUGUUUGGGAAUGCAGCUCAAAAUGGGUGGUAAAUUUCAUCUAAAGCUAAAUAUUGGCCAGAGACCGAUAGCGCACAAGUAGAGUGAUCGAAAGAUGAAAAGCACUUUGGAAAGAGAGUUAAACAGUACGUGAAAUUGUUGAAAGGGAAGCGCUUGCAACCAGACUUGCGCGCGGCCGAUCAUCCGGUGUUCUCACCGGUGCACUCGGCCGUGCUCAGGCCAGCAUCGGUUUUGGCGGCUGGAUAAAGGCCCUAGGAAUGUAGCUCCUCUCGGGGAGUGUUAUAGCCUAGGGUGCAAUGCAGCCUGCUGGGACCGAGGACCGCGCUUCGGCUAGGAUGCUGGCGUAAUGGUUGUAAGCGGCCCGUCUUGAAACACGGACCAAGGAGUCUAACAUCUAUGCGAGUGUUUGGGUGUCAAACCCAUACGCGUAAUGAAAGUGAACGGAGGUGAGAACCCUUAAGGGUGCAUCAUCGACCGGUCCUGAAGUUUACGGAAGGAUCUGAGUAAGAGCAUAGCUGUUGGGACCCGAAAGAUGGUGAACUAUGCCUGAAUAGGGUGAAGCCAGAGGAAACUCUGGUGGAGGCUCGCAGCGGUUCUGACGUGCAAAUCGAUCGUCAAAUUUGGGGUAUGGGGCGAAAGACUAAUCGAUCCAUCAAUUGC
Molecule: ribosomal RNA, 904 nt
Filed under: Pseudogymnoascus sp.
Lineage: Eukaryota; Fungi; Ascomycota; Leotiomycetes; Thelebolales; Thelebolaceae
Description: partial large subunit ribosomal RNA
Rfam family: Eukaryotic large subunit ribosomal RNA
Source: RNAcentral